CAUGAUGUAGUGGGCAUGGUGGUAAUGGGUUGACGGUUGGACAAGUUGAUCUUAGUGGUCUAUUCCCACCUUAGUGAUGCUGUGAUUCUAUGAGAUACCUGGGGAUUUGUGCUCCAGGGCAGCACAGCAUUUCAUUUCCUGGAUCUUCUCUUUGCCAUCAUGUGCUAGAAUUACUGGCAAUUGUCAAGCGUUUGGUGCUACGUGAAAAUAGUCUAGAAGUGUUCUCAAGGGUGGAGAUCAUCUCGAGCAACAGCUGGGGGAAAUAAGCCCAUGCUCAGAAGAAGCUUAUUUCUCAUCGUGGAGGAAUGUGAAGAUUUCCUGGCAUACACCUUACUGUCAGCAGCUUAAUCUCAGGAGGAUGAUGGACCUUCUGCAGAGCACUGGCAGCACCAUUCCGAUUAGACAACUGAGAUGGCCUUUGCACUUGAAGUUCUGUUGGAGAGAUACAGCUCAUUUUUCAAUGUAAGGAACCCCAAGCACUUCUUUGCUGGAUUUUCUGAGCAGAGCUCCCCUCAGCACUUGCAGAAAGGAGAGAAUGAGACACCUUGUCAUUUUCCUAAAGAGAAUUCAUGUGUGACCUCCAUCUCCCUCUCCACACUCUGCUACUUGCCUAUGGGUUCUUCAGAAAGCUCAGAGUAGCCAGCGAAAGAGGAACUUCCAGGAUGCACAACAGAGUUGCCUUGUAUUUGCUUUUGUUGCACUUAAUUCUUGGUUAUGUACAUUUCCUGCCAAAGGACAGACUUCUCGCUACGCUCUGCUUUGUGAUUAAAGAUUUGGGCAGUUUCUCAACUUACAUUUUGGCACUGGUUUUCUUUUGUUGCUUUGCACAGAUGUUGCCAGGGAGACCUGGCACUAAAGGAAGGGCUCUUCUCCUUUCUUCUCCUUUCUUCCACCACGCUCCCAUGCAGCAUGGCCCCAGUUAUCAUGAUUUAUCGCCACGCUUUGAGGAGUCAGGCAAUCUGCAGCUCAGCGAAGCAAGACCCCUUGGCAUGGCCCAUGUGCAGGAAAGCAGGGGCUCUCCUACACACUGGUGCCUCUGUGCUUUCCAACUUAUUAAGCAUAAACACAGCCAUAAUUAAAGCUUAUUCCUUUAACCAGUGUAGGUGAUCAGGUCAUGAAAACCUUGAGGAUAGUGGGAUGACGGACAGUAAACAUGGCAUGGAUUGAUGGAGUUUGAAGGGAGUAAAAGGUGUACAGAAUCUGGUUGGUUUUUUUUGUUUUUGUUUUUCCAGUAAUUCCUACAGAAUUGGGUGGAAAAAUACAGCUUUUA
This is a long non-coding RNA of Lagopus leucura (white-tailed ptarmigan), 1270 nucleotides long. RefSeq lists it as uncharacterized. The transcript is spliced from 3 exons. The record is from RefSeq and is a predicted model, not a curated record. NCBI's taxonomy places the organism in Eukaryota, Metazoa, Chordata, Aves, Galliformes, Phasianidae.